Pygocentrus nattereri (red-bellied piranha) is the source of this 944-nucleotide long non-coding RNA. Lineage: Eukaryota; Metazoa; Chordata; Actinopteri; Characiformes; Serrasalmidae. The record is from Ensembl.
UUGGAAUUAGUUUUGAUGGGGUUCAUUAGCUGAAUAAUAUGGUUUAAUUUCCUGACUUUAGAGAACAAUGCAUUAAUCAAUUCAUUUUUUUUUAGAAGAAUAGACUGGUUCUCCGAUUUCUAGUAACUGAUCACUGCAUUUCACACAUCAGAUGACUUGUCAUGGGUCAUCUUCACACUACUGUUUCAACUCUGCUCUAAGAGGAAGUGGGUGAAUGGGGCGGAGGAUGGACAGGCAGUGGCGGCAGGGGGGUGGGGGCAGAGCAGAGCCACCUACCCUUAAAUACACAUCUAGAUUUAAAGCGAAUUUAAUAAGUGUGUGAGCAUCACCAGAUCAAACUCGAGAUACCCCCAGAGAGAGGAGAGGAACUUGCGGAGAAGAUGGAGAUGAAGAUGCGCUGUGUGUGCUUGGUCCUGGGGCUGGUCCUGCUGAUGACCGUCUCCUCAGACAGUGAACCUCAUGGUGAUGGCCAUCCUGAUGAGUGCUGUUUCACCUUCAGCGAUAUUAAAAUUCCCCCCAAACGAAUCAUAAAAGUGGAAAAAACAAGUUCUGACUGCCCACAGCCAGGCUACAUGUGAGUACCUACCUUCAGAAGAAGUUCGGCAGAUAAGAUUGUCUUGACUUUAAACUAAAUGAGGUCAGUUCUAAAUCACUAUAGCUGCGACUGACUGUUAUCUGUGUUUUUCAGUGUUACUACGGUCAAGAACAAGUUCUGCAAGCAUGACAUAAAGGAAUUGACCAUUUGAAGACUAUAUUCCAGCACUGCAGCUUCUAUGUAACCCAAAUGCAACAUCUAAAGUGCAUGAAAAGUUGAUUUGCUCCUAUAUUCACCAUAUUGUGAAUUAUACUAUCGAUGCUUUUUACUGCUGUGGAUCCAAAUAACAGAAUAAAAUGAUGCAAGUGAACCGUUUCCAUCGUCUCAUUAUUACGAGUAAGACAGCAGC